AGAGUUUGAUCAUGGCUCAGAUUGAACGCUGGCGGCAGGCCUAACACAUGCAAGUCGAACGGUAACAUUUCUAGCUUGCUAGAAGAUGACGAGUGGCGGACGGGUGAGUAAUGCUUGGGAACUUGCCUUUGCGAGGGGGAUAACAGUUGGAAACGACUGCUAAUACCGCAUAACGUCUACGGACCAAACGGGGCUUAGGCUCCGGCGCAAAGAGAGGCCCAAGUGAGAUUAGCUAGUUGGUAAGGUAAUGGCUUACCAAGGCAACGAUCUCUAGCUGUUCUGAGAGGAAGAUCAGCCACACUGGAACUGAGACACGGUCCAGACUCCUACGGGAGGCAGCAGUGGGGAAUAUUGCACAAUGGGGGAAACCCUGAUGCAGCCAUGCCGCGUGUGUGAAGAAGGCCUUCGGGUUGUAAAGCACUUUCAGUUGUGAGGAAAAGUUAGUAGUUAAUACCUGCUAGCCGUGACGUUAACAACAGAAGAAGCACCGGCUAACUCCGUGCCAGCAGCCGCGGUAAUACGGAGGGUGCGAGCGUUAAUCGGAAUUACUGGGCGUAAAGCGCACGCAGGCGGUUUGUUAAGCUAGAUGUGAAAGCCCCGGGCUCAACCUGGGAUAGUCAUUUAGAACUGGCAGACUAGAGUCUUGGAGAGGGGAGUGGAAUUCCAGGUGUAGCGGUGAAAUGCGUAGAUAUCUGGAGGAACAUCAGUGGCGAAGGCGACUCCCUGGCCAAAGACUGACGCUCAUGUGCGAAAGUGUGGGUAGCGAACAGG
This 771-nucleotide ribosomal RNA is filed under the name uncultured marine microorganism. RNAcentral's name for it is "bacterial SSU rRNA". It matches the Rfam family "Bacterial small subunit ribosomal RNA", at positions 8 to 776 of the family's 1533-position model. The record is from RNAcentral.